RNAcentral lists this ribosomal RNA (238 nucleotides) under uncultured bacterium. Its description in RNAcentral is "partial 16S ribosomal RNA". It matches the Rfam family "Bacterial small subunit ribosomal RNA", at positions 355 to 610 of the family's 1533-position model. The record is from RNAcentral.
UGGGGAAUAUUGGACAAUGGGGGCAACCCUGAUCCAGCAAUGCCGCGUGUGUGAAGAAGGUUUUCGGAUUGUAAAGCACUUUCGACGGGGACGAUGAUGACGGUACCCGUAGAAGAAGCCCCGGCUAACUUCGUGCCAGCAGCCGCGGUAAUACGAAGGGGGCUAGCGUUGCUCGGAAUGACUGGGCGUAAAGGGCGUGUAGGCGGUUUGUACAGUCAGAUGUGAAAUCCCCGGGCUU